Chrysemys picta bellii (western painted turtle) is the source of this 2809-nucleotide non-coding RNA. Lineage: Eukaryota; Metazoa; Chordata; Testudines; Emydidae. The record is from RefSeq and is a predicted model, not a curated record.
UCACAUUUGCUGUCUGGUCACCCUACUUCCUAUACCAAGGUUUCUCAAUGUAAAUAUCACCAUCACUAUUCUGUAUGUUAUUCAUUAAAAGUUUGUGUUUUCUGUUGGGGAAUGCUCUUCUUUUGUAACAUCGUAAUGUAGUCUAGAUGUUCAAAAGUUCCAUUUACCUUGAGAUCUUGGUAGUGAAUAUUUUUAAUAAGGGGAAUUUUAAAAAAGUCUAUCUUUAACUGAUACCCUAUAGAGUCCAAUUUUUACUGAUGGGCAAUUUAGUACUAUGACGCAGGGAAGCCUAUUUCAUGUGAUGCUUUACACUUUGAUAGGCGUUUUCAUCCGAGGAUCUCAACAUUCAUUAAUUCAGGUAGGUGAGUGAGUAUUUCUACUUUUCAUGAUGGGAAACUGAGGCAGAGAUAGGCAAGAACUUGCCUAAGAUCACAUAGUGAAAUCAGAAGAGAGUAGUAGCAAGGGCGCUUCACUCCCAGUUUUCGCCUCUAGCCACUAGCCAUACUGCCCCUCGUGGGAAAAUAUAUAUACUACGCUUAUGUAAUGUUACAUUGAACUAUUAAUAGUAAAUUAUUUAACAGCAUAUAAAAUUAAAUACUGUAAUAUUUCCCAGGGAAAAUAUGUAAAAUAUUAUUGGCUAUAAUAUUAAUGUCCCAUUGCCUUUAUUAGAGCUAAAUCACUGAUAAUACAAACAAAAAUUUGGUCUUUCAAGACAGGAAAAAUUUUCAGAAAUGCAGUUUUCAUUUUUCCCUUUUCUUCAUCUCAAGUAGUUUUCUACUUUAUUUGACCUUUUUAGGGCAUGUCUACACUUACCGGGGUUCGACGCUGCUGCGAUCGAUGCACCGGGGGUUGAUUUAGCAGGUCUAGUGAAUACCCGCUAAAUCGACCACAGAUCACUCUCCCGCCGACUCCAGUACUCCACCGGAACGAGAAGCAUAAGAACUAACAGAGGCAUCCAGUAUUGCUUCACGGGCAAUAUAAUCAAACAGGCUCAUGUGUUAUUCGCUACAAUUCUACUAGAGGCUUCACGGAAAUCCCAUAAGAAGCAGCACCAUAACAAGCGAAGUGAAAAUAACGGCAAGGCCACACCAGCAGGUUUCACUUUGAAGGACUAACCAACUCGAUGCUUGUUUAGAGUUCCUAAUGUUUUAUGGUGUAAUGUGGCCUACUGGAUAAAGCACUGAAUUGGCACUCAGGAGACCUGAGUUCUAUUCCUGGCUUCGCUAUUGGCUUUUGGCUCUCUUACAGAACUCAACAAUAGCAGAGUGUACACACUACAAGCAAAAGAAGUUGUCAGAAUUAAGGCUGUGCCACUUCCUGUAUAAGAAUGUCGGCCCAGAACCUUCACCUGACCCUCUGCCUGGCUUUCUGCUAUUGGUUCAAAACAACAAACCACUCCUCACACAAUGGGAAUUCUGAGGCCAUUUGAUAACAUGAGGGAAGCCCUCAACUCAUCAUUCAUGGAGGACUCCUGACUCUGGCCAAACACCCACUGACUUCAGUGACAGCUGCAGUCCCUUAGGCAAGAUGCUAAAGCAGAAGCUCCCUCAGAAGGUAUUAGCAAUAUGACCAUGCAUGUGAGGGGAUACUACAUGGCCCCAGUGGAUAGAGGACUGGACUGGACUGGACUGAGACUCAAGAGACCUGUCCAAGCUCUGCCACUGGCCUGCUGAGUGACCUUGGGUGAGCCAUUUGCCUCGCUCCGUGCCUCGGUUUCUCCAUCAUAAAAAUGGGGAUAAUGAUACUGAUGUCUUUUGUAAGCGCUUUGAGAUCUAAUGAUGAAAAUUGCUGUAUGAGAACUAGGCUUUUCUUGAUAUUGAUGAAUCAGUAUUUAUUUUUACCAUUUCUUAAACACUUUAUUUAAAUAAGACUAAAUGAUAGUUUCAGUCAUCUUGGUGGGAUGCUACAUUGCCCUCACUAGAAACAGAAGGCGACGGUUAAAUCGGUCCAGCUACAUACCACAUCACUGUGGGAGCUGAGCACCUCUGCCAUUCUGUAUGGGCUGAUCCAAGUGUCCUGAACUGAUGCACUACUUACUGACUGGCCUUUUUGUGGACUCUGUAAGAUUCUGUCUCUCUUACCCUCAAAGUUGGGCCUCUAUGCAGCAAGAUUUUAUUUUUAUUUCUAAACAUUAAGCAUUAGCUGGGUUUAGAAGAUCAUAAUCACCAAGUAGCAUUUCAGGCAGAGCAACUUGGUUUGUUCUAUCCCCCAUCUGUGUUCCAAAGCUCCUUCUGAAAAAAACAUUAACCCUGUCUCCGCUGCUAGCAACUGCAGUCUCUCAGCUGCAACAGAAUAUCUGCAUUUCAGAAGAGAUAUGUCACAUGGGGCAGCAGUUUGCCCCAUGUGACAUAGCCCUAUUGAAGGGCUUAGUCCAAUAAACUCAUCUAGACAAGGGAUACUCACCUGAGUAAGGAUUUGCAGGACUGGGACUUUCUUAGGCAGAUGUAAUGUAGUUAGUUACAAUUCUUCCAGUCAAACAUUAAAUUAUCUUUGGAAUUAGUGUAAUAGAUUUUAUUUUUUUAAGCAUGAGACUAAAUGUGAUCUUCUGAAGUUUUGAAAAAGUCAUGGUUUUCACUGUUGUUUGCAUGAGCAUAGCUUGAGCCCCCCAUUAGUAAUGUCUGCGUUGAUUUAAAAAAAGUUUUAAUUUGUUUUUCUGUAAUAUGCGUGGUCUCAGGAAAUGUACAAAGAGCUUAACCUAUUGAUCAAACUGUACAGUAAAUCAAAUUGAUUAUACUAUGCUAUCCUGCUUCGAUCAGAUUGUAUUAAUUUUAGUCCAGAGAAACUAAACAAAUUUUCAAUGUUGAAAGUA